GGCAGCAGGGUUGGGCUCUCGCCGUGAGUCGACGAAGGGAGCGCGGGCGCGCGCCCGCGUCCGCGCACUGAGAGUCGCCUCGGCCGCUCGCUUUCUCGACUCCCGCCUCGCGCCUCGAUCCUGUUCCGCCUCCCUCGGCCCUCCUGCCCGCCCCCACUCGUCGGCCCUCAGCUCAGAGACCUAAUAGGAUGGGGUCUUAGAGAAACAUCUUUUGAGCCACAGACUUCUUUGUUACCAGAAGGAAAAUGAAAGAAGAAAUUUAAAUACCACUUGAAGAGAGGUGCUGCCCAGUUCAUGAGUGCUGCUGCUGUCCUGCCCAAGUACCCAGCUUGCAGAGUGCCAGAGUUAGAGUCCCAGGGGUGUUCUCCACAGCUGCAUGCUUGAUCCAGGCCUAUCAGGUGUUAUUUGUUGACGGAACCAGGCAUCAUCAGCAAACAAAACUGACAAAGCUUCCUGCCCUCUGUGGAAGGCAUCUGAGGAAGAGACUGGAUUUUGUAGCAACAUGUUAUUCUCAUUAUAAACUUUAUCAUUGGAAUACUAAAGCCAAAUCAUCCCCCAUCUCCUUGAUCAGGAUACCCACUUAAUCUAGGCAGCUACACAAUUGUGAGAGCCUUUGUUUUUUUCUGCUGAAACAUCCUUAAAAAGAUACCUCACAACCCAAGAUUUGGCUUUUCUUAAAUACGAUUUUUAAUUUUUUUCAUUUCUAUCUAGAGAUUUAAUUGGAAAUGGAAAAUCAUCAAUUUUCCAAUUAAAUGUCUGUUCCAAUCAACAUUAUACCUUUUAGGUUGUCAUUGUCAUUUUUAAGUUUAAGCAACUUUAAGGAUUUUGAAUCUGGCUGCCUGUAAAUUAAAGGUGAAAGUAAUCAUUGUGUUGGAUUGGAACAUUUUGUCAAUUGAGAGUGGUUUCCUUGUUCUUAGUGUAUGAAAAGUUUAUUUUUCUAAUGUAGAUUAAUAAAGGAGAUAAAGAAAAACAAAAUGAGUGAUUUAUGUGUGUGAGAAAAGAACCAUUUCCUCAAGGAUUAAAUAAAAUUCAUACCUUUUGUUUCUUUUGAAAAGUUUUUAAAAUAAAUUUUAAUGAAUGUGUCCUUUAAAUAUUCCUUUAAAAAUGUAUCCUAUUUUAAAAUGGACUCUCUGAGAGAAGGAAUUGAUACCUGUGUUUAAAAUCAAAAAUAGCAUGCAUAGAGACUGUUUUUCUAGUUGGUUGAAGCUUUUUUCCCUCUCCUUUACAUCAGUGAACCAGCAUCUUGCCCUUCAGACCCUACAGCACACUCUUGGGCUCAUGAAGUGUAUGACACAUCCUCCUUGGGGGAUCGGCCAUGUCCUCGCUCUCAUGACCACAUGAAUUCUUCUGUAUGUCUUUUCUCACAGCUGAGUACUCUCUUCCUGACCCCCUUGUGGAAUGGGGAAAGGAGGCUGUGACAUUGUGCUUGUGCAAACAAUAAUUGAGAGCUUUCCGAGUCUCCUGCAUCUUCAUAAAUGAUUUUUUGUUUUAUGCUGGGACAGUAGUUCUUUAAAUAGAAUAUUCUCCCAUGGAAAUCGCCCACAAUGCUGAGAGUACACCUUGCAAAAGGUAAGUCUAGAAUAUAGGGUGCCUCCUCAGCAUUGCCCAGAAGCUGAAGUUAGGACUCUCUAGAAUACCAAAAACAAAUUUAUAGCAGUUCAUUAAUGUAAGGAAUUAUGAAAACUGUGUGCCACCAUUAUCCAUAGAUGAAACAAGAGCCACCACGCAAGCACAGACACAAAGCCCUGAAGAUGAAGCCAUUGACAGGGCUCUCAUUUAUUCUGUAGAAACCCACUUGCCUGUUUUUGAACCAGUUUUCUUUGGAGCAUAUGUCUCACUGUGCAACCAAAGUGGUGUUUAUAUCCUAGUCACUUGGCAAAAAUUCUGUCAUUGCUUCAGGGAGAUCCAUUUUAGGCCUGAAGCAUGGAGCUGGUAAUAGAUGGGAUUUGGUACUUCUGAAGAAAAGACCCUACUGCAAAUUUAGAGAGUUAAUUUUUUCUUUUGUUCCCCAUAAUAUUGUUGCUAGAUAGAACUACCUUUUUUGACUAGAAGUUAAAUAUAGAGGCCUAAAUCAAUUAGGUAACUCCCACUCAUUCUAAAUGAGAACAUGUUUGUUUUUCUCCAACGAGAUGAGAAAUAUUUGAGGCGCUUCCUGAUAUCUCUAUCACCCACUGCAUUUUUUCACUUGAUGUAUAUUUCCCCAUGUAUUUGGGAUAAUUUUCAAAUAAUUGCCCUUUAGAAAUCUACUUGAUAUUAAAUGUAAAAAAAAAGCAAGAUGCAAAAUUAUUAUAGGAUGCAUUUACAGAAAUUACAAAAUUUCUAUAAACUAUUUAUGGAGGAAGACUUAUAGAGUAUAUGUCAACACAUUGCUUUAUUAUUGUCCUUGGUUAUGAGUAUGGUUUUUUUGAAACCUGCUUUGUACUUUGGGUGUUUUCUCACCAUUGGUACAAUUGAGGCAUUUUUCCCUCUUCUUCAACCUUGCAAAUCACACGUGAGGAUGCUCAUAGAAGUGCCUCUCAGACAGGCUGUUGUUUUGCUUUCACCAAUAAAUCAUUUAUAAUUAGAAGUAGAAAACUAUUCUUUCCAGUGCAAAUACAUCCCUUUCAAAAGCAGUUCUCUUUUUGUGAAUGAUGUCUAGUGUCUAAGAAACGAGGGUAACCUUUAUUAUAUGCAUUGCUCUAAUCGAAGCAUUGUUUUUUGCGGUGAACUCAAGGUUACAUGUUUAAGAAAAGCAUCGGGUUAAUUCCAUUAGGAAAAGUGUCUUAUUCAUAAACCUUUAGCCACUGGAAAAACACCAUUAGGAGGCCACACAAGUGUGUAUAGCUGGAUAGAAUUUGACAACUGGCAAAACAAAACAAUAGCCUACAAUUGCAGAGUGCUGUCUGUUUAAAAACCAACAUAUCUUUCACCAACAAAUACAUAUUCACCUCAACACGAGACUUUCAUGUGGUUAUUAAUAUCAAAUUUUUGAAUGUCCAAAUUUUGGAGUGUAGUCUAGCAGAGGUAAACUGAUUUGCCUAAGGUCCUUCAACUGUCAGAGGUAGAAUUAUUUUCUCUCUCCUGGCUCUAAAACCUGUCCAGAUUCUCCUGCAACACUGUCCUUCAAAAACACACUUCCGCUGACUCCAGUGCUGGUGAUGUCAUGCUUUAGCUAGUAGUUAGAGGUGACUUAACUUUAAAUAUGGAAUCUUUUUUUCCUAUUAAGCAAUGAGGUUUAGUUUGAAAAUUCUUAGAGAUGAUAAACCCCUCUCCUUUUUUUCUUCCUUCUCCUCUUUUGUCCUGAACAAUGUUCCAUAUAUAUUACUGCCAGAAACAGAUUCUUGACAUUCCUGUUAUGCUUUUCCACAUCUUGUAAUCAUUUCUACAGCUGUUAGCAUUGCCAACAAUUAUAUUUCCACUUUUAAAAAAUUGUUACAAAGAUGCAGAGAGAAAAGAGGAAAGCCAAGGAAUAAACUACAGGCAAUUAUGGGAUAUUUUUGUGAUGUGACAUUUUGGGAACUGAGGCAGCAUCACUGAUACUGCACUACUUUUUAAUAUCUAGAUUUUAAUCUUUUGUAUGAAGAUAAAAUUCACAUGCCUUAAACCUGACCACAACAUAAUAGGGCAUUUAUUUUUCUAAUUUUGAUACCAUCCACAUUUCUUAACUAUAAGAAGAAUGCUUAUGUUGUACCAGGUUAUAUGAUGUUGCCAAGAAGUAGAUGUGUACCAUUUACUAAUACAUCCUUUUGGAAAAUGCGUAUUAAUAACAUAUUAAGGAGUAAAUUGACGUUGUGCAAAGUGAGCCUGUGAGUUUAAAUGUAUGGAUUGUACACCUUGCUCUUCCUAAUUGCAGAUUUAACAGGAUUUGAUGACCUAAUGAGUUUAUUUCUGAAUGAUUUAUAUUUCUUUGUCAGUUCAAUGAUUUAGUAUUUUAAAUUUUUUUAAAUCACAUUUUAUUGAGAUAAUGCUAUUAGUGUUUCUUUCCCAUCACUUAACAAAGUUAAGUCACUCCUCUCCCACCCCACUUUUGUACCUACCAAUGUUUUUUUCACAGUUACAGGCUGAUUGGCUUGACGUGUCUUAGGAUACCACCCAAAGAGAGCUUCAUUUUAUAAAUACCAAGCUCAUUUUCCUAAAUAUUUUCAAAAAGAUAGAUUUAUCCUCAUAUAGUAAAUUCAGAUUAAUAAUUUUGGAAAGGGUCAUGUGACCAUGGUAUUACAUGGCUGUGGAAGACCCUCCAAGAUCUUGUUUUGGGAUAGAAGGACUCAGACAUCCAAACUUUUAAAUUAAUGAACUUAUUAAAUUCUAAAACUUUGUAACAGUGUUAAUUUGAGAAGUAUAAUAUUUUGCUUAAGGUCUGUUUUGCUUUGCAAAAUGCAUCUCCUUCAUUUUCAUAUUAUGUUGGAAGCUUAGCAUGAAAGAACGUGCCUCAGAGGAAACCAUAGGUAAGCAUACUUUAACAAAAGUUAGUGUCAUCAUGUUUGUGUCUUUGCCUGUGGUUUUUUAAAUGUAUAAUGUUUAACGUUGAUUUGGCUAUCAAAUUACAUUUUCUUUUGUUAAAAAAUUCUGUAAAUUAGAAAUGUACUGAAUCAUUUAUUUAGCAGACUGAAGGUGGGUAAUGUUGGCUGAACAGGUUUAAGCCACAGUAAUUUGAAAAUGUAAAUACAUAAAAUAAUGUCAUUUCUCUUCCACUCAAUGUUUCUUCACCAAAUAAAGUCCAGCCUGCUCUGAAUUUGUUGCCAGUAGGAACAAUGUUACAGUGAAUCAUGGUUUAAUAUACCUUGAAAAUGGCACAUCUGUUCUGUGAUAGCUUACCAAUUUUAGCCUCUUUAUAAAAUACGAAGAGUUUGUCAACCAGAAUAAUCUAGAACCUGGCAAUUCAAAUACCAUUCAAAGCAAAUGUUUUAUCUAAUAACUGGAACUAAAUGUUAGGCCUCAUGACAGUUCAAUAUUUACUAAAUAAGUUUAAUAACAGGGUAAGCCCUCAGUAUCCAGAGCAGAGACAAGCACACCAUAUUUACACAUACAAAUUCUGCCUUUAGCCAUCUGAAAGGGCCCCGAACUAUUGCAGCAAGCAAAGAGUCUUUGCAUUGUCCUAAAAUCCAUACAAUACUUUAUAUUUUACACAUUUUAAUAGCUAGUUUAACAAAUAACAAGUACCAUGCUUAAUUCUCUGCAUGCAUUAUUUCAACUAAUUAUUGGAAUAAUCUUAUAAAGUGGGUACUUUCGUCUCAGCUUACAGGUGAGAAAACAAAAGUUAAAUAGAUCGCCCAGGGCUCUGCUGGAACGUGUUAAGCAGGGAUUUCAGCCUGUCCAGUCAGACCCCAGAAGUUGUGUUCUUAACCAUUAGCAACACAUCAUCCCAGGCAGGCCCUACAUGAGCCUCAUAACCAAUUUUAUGCUGGAUAGUAUUAUCCCUAUUUCACAGAUGGCAAAACUGAGGUCCAGAGACUUUAAGUGACCUACCCAAAAUUACAGUCAUGAGCAGAGGCACUGGAAUGUAGGGCCUUGACACUCUACCUCACGUGGUCCUCUUUCCUGUUUUGGGUAGUUCUCCACUACCACUACUCAUUUCUGAUGCUGGAAAGGCUGUGUUUUAUACAUUUCUGUUUCUGGCUUGGAACGAAACACUCUGGGUCUCUGCUUGAUCAGUGUCCCCUCUAAACUGCACCUCACUACAGUAGGGAUGGCAUAAGAUACUUCUUUACACAGCAUCUUUUUGUUCCCACCUCACCCCCAGAGCUGUAAUAGGUAGAGCCAGCCAAAUGUCAAAGGGAUGAUUUGUCUUGUCACCACUAGUUUCCCUUUUCUCUGCCUUGUAUGUAACAGGAAUAUUCUUUAGUUCCUCCUUAUGUUCUAAAGCACCUCCCCAACCUAAAAAUAGAAGAGGAGUUGUGGGUCAUUUACACUUUAGUGUGAAUUUGCCCUUGUGACUUUGCCAAGGCUGUUGUGCCUAACCCUUUCAAUCUAACAGCAGAAUGAGAGUCUCUGGACUAUCCUGGCUCCUUCCCUGAGAAGAAUGAACUGGGAAUUGUUGGUCUAGACAUCAAGACUACCAGAGACCUAUUGCUCAGAGAUGUUUGGGCUGUACAAUUUCUGUAGAUAUGGCAUCUGGAGCAGCCUUUUCUAAGCAAUGGCAUUAUCAUUCCAGGCUCUCUCGCUCUUUCCAUCUCUCCACCAGGUGGACUCUUGCCCUCCACCCCUUCCAAUUUGUCAGUGAUUCAGAGAACAUUCUCCAUCCUUCCAAUGAUUACAUUCCUUCAUCUUGCUGGGGCGCCAAUUCAGUGAUGGAGCGGCUCUUGGGAGCAGCCUUGGCUUAUAGUGCAGCUCUCUGCUACCUUCAACAGGCUGGUAUUCGGGGUGCUUAGAUGUGACUGGUUGUACGCACGUGUGUGUAUGUGCAUGUGUGUACAGCAGUAAGAGCUUUCGAGGUAGAUACUUGAGGAAGCCUCAGACAUCUAGCCCCAUUACUGGGGCAAUGUCUUACUUGGGUUUUUCCAGAAACAGACCUGGAGACCAGGAUUCAAGUGCCAGUGGUAUAUUUGGGAUGUGAACCCUGCAAUGCUGGUAGGAGAGUGGAGAAGUGAGGCAAGGAAAGGAAGGCCGUCAAGGGGCGUGUUAGGAGGUCAUUCACCACCGCAGGUAGCCCGCUGGGGACCUCUGGGAGCAAGUGUGGCGCACAAGCCUCAGCAUUACUGCCCUGUGCCUUGAGGAGUAAGGGAUAAGGAUUUUCCCCACCAGUUCCCUGUAGUCCUUGGUGAGAGCUUCUGGGGUGGAGGUUAAGGUCUUUAGGUCAGAGAAAUUUUCUUUAGUUUCGGAAAAAUCUUUCAGGCCGAGGUCCAGACACUCACUGGAACACACUGAAGUGGUUAGGUCCAAGGGCUGUAGGCAGAGCUCCCAUAUCCAUCUGCAGAGGUGUUUCAGGUGGAAGGAGUGGAGACAGCCUUCUCUGCUCCACACUGUCUUCAGCAAGGGUUUCUGUAUCUGUGCAUUGAGGAUUAAAUUAUUCACAUGGUCAGAGAAGCCCAUCACCACUGAUAGUUAUUGUAGGUAUGGAAAACUAACGACUAAGAAGGGAGAAAAAUAUACCAAGCAGUUGGCUUGGCUGAACACAAGUAAAGACUCUUACAGUCACUGGUGUGAACUGCUUAUUAUCAAUGUCUGAUUACAGUGCUGCAUACUAAUGAUUAUGCAUGUCAUUAAAUGUGUCAGAUUAACUUUGUUAUAAAAUUUAUGACAACAUUAAAUUUUAUUCACAUGCUCAGCCUUCAUAAUUUAUUGCUUAUGUAGCAUGGUUUUAACUUCAGAAAAACCUCCAAGACAGUGUUGUCUUGAUGACUACACUGCUUAUCCGUGAGUCUAGUUUUCCUGUUCAUUUGAAAUGUUCACAUUACAUUCAGCUCUGUCUCAAGCACUGAGACAGAGCUGGAAUCAGUGCCCAGCGAUUCCACUUGCCGAGUGAUUGA
This 7445-nucleotide long non-coding RNA is filed under the name Homo sapiens (human). Its description in RNAcentral is "non-protein coding lnc-C16orf78-5:7". The record is from RNAcentral. Lineage: Eukaryota; Metazoa; Chordata; Mammalia; Primates; Hominidae.